GCUCCAGUAGCUCAAAUGGAUAGAGCAAGGCACUCCUAACGCCUAGGUUGGGGGUUCGAGUCCCUCCUGGAGCAUCA
This 77-nucleotide transfer RNA is filed under the name Anaerolineaceae bacterium. RNAcentral's name for it is "tRNA-Arg". It matches the Rfam family "tRNA". From Rfam's summary of the family: Transfer RNA (tRNA) molecules are approximately 80 nucleotides in length. Lineage: Bacteria; Bacillati; Chloroflexota; Anaerolineae; Anaerolineales; Anaerolineaceae. The record is from RNAcentral.